RNAcentral lists this long non-coding RNA (754 nucleotides) under Zalophus californianus (California sea lion). RNAcentral describes it as "lncRNA (ENSZCAG00015009826.1)". The record is from RNAcentral. Lineage: Eukaryota; Metazoa; Chordata; Mammalia; Carnivora; Otariidae.
GUUGGGAUGGAGCCAGGGCACUUGAAAGUGAGUUAAUCCUUUCCCCAUCAAAAUCCCCAGCAACAAUCUGGGUUUGUUUAGCCAUUUGGUACUGGCAUUUCAGGGCUUUUUUAUAAACACUGAGGGAAUCGCUCACUUUGGCAGUGGCCAGCACGGCUGUCACACCCGGGCGCCGAGUCCCUCUUGUUCGUGAGGGACGGCCACAUCGUACCUUUCAGGUGAGAAGAUGGUCUUAACUCUGCUCGGUCUGCCGGAGCCUCGGGGUCAAUGCCUUCUUGGAGGAAUUCAGAAAGCGUGGUGGAUGUUCAGAGUGAGGAGGACCCUUCUCUCCGGCUUGGCAGAGGCCCAACACCUUCCUAGUGUGAGCCCACACAGCUGUCUUCUCCCCAUGGCCUGCUCAUCUCUGCUCCUGGGAAGCCCAGCUGGGCAGCAGUGGGUUAAGACAGCACCAUCAAAUAUGUGCUCCACUAAAAAUGUAAAAGGUUCCAAGAAUGCAGCUUAAUAAAUCUCAGCAGAUGGAUGAAUGGGGGGCUCACAAGUCUCAGGCUGAAAUGCGGAAUGAACACAUCUGCCAUAUCAUCUGAGUCCAAAGUUGAAAGGGGCUCUUCACCAAAACCUAGACAAAUAUUUGAAAGCCUGUCUUGGAAAGGAAGAUAAUGUCCAAUUGGUCUCUUUUAUAAUGCAUUUGUGUACAGGCGGGGGUGGGGGGGAAUGGGAUUUAAAAAUAAAGCCGUCUACGUCAGAGACUUGGAUU